CUCUGUGACUCCUACGGGAGGCAGCAGUGGGGAAUAUUGCACAAUGGGGGAAACCCUGAUGCAGCCAUGCCGCGUGUGUGAAGAAGGCCUUCGGGUUGUAAAGCACUUUCAGUAGGGAGGAAGGUAGUGUAGUUAACACCUGCAUUAUUUGACGUUACCUACAGAAGAAGCACCGGCUAACUCCGUGCCAGCAGCCGCGGUAAUACGGAGGGUGCGAGCGUUAAUCGGAAUUACUGGGCGUAAAGCGCAUGCAGGCGGCCUGUUAAGUCAGAUGUGAAAGCCCGGGGCUUAACCUCGGAAUUGCAUUUGAAACUGGCAGGCUAGAGUCUUGUAGAGGGGGUAGAAUUUCAGGUGUAGCGGUGAAAUGCGUAGAGAUCUGAAGGAACACCAGUGGCGAAGGCGACUUACUGGACUGUAACUGACGCUGAUGCACGAAAGCGUGGGUAGCGAACAGGAUUAGAUACCCUGGUAG
This 472-nucleotide ribosomal RNA is filed under the name uncultured bacterium. RNAcentral's name for it is "bacterial SSU rRNA". It matches the Rfam family "Bacterial small subunit ribosomal RNA", at positions 328 to 793 of the family's 1533-position model. The record is from RNAcentral.